CUGGGACAACAAAGAAUUUGUCUCCAGUGCAGAAACUCUCAGUGUACAUACUCCAUUCCAUAUCAAAUAAUAACAAUAACAACAAUAACUACAAUAACUACAAUAAUAACUAUAAUAAUACCAAAACAAUAAACAACAGUGGCAAAAAUGCAAGACCCAAACCGCAUACGAGUGACCCAAAAACUUAGAACGGCAACUAACCGGACACCCAAACGCUGCACUUUGGCAGGGAUUUGAAGGGAUGUUUACUUUCCAGCCAGAACGAGCGUUCGUGCUCAGCAUGUCGAAAUGAGCCUGUUGCAAUCCUGGGCCUUCGCCAAUCGUCCGGUUUUUGGGACUGUCCUGUUUUUCCUAUGACGAAAGGCAUCGCUAGCCCCCCUGCAUGUACGCUGGACCGAGGCACGUUUUAAGAUGCAGUGGCUCCUCAUGUUCCUGCUACCUGGGCUCAUCGUCCCUGCAAGUUCCGCUUGGACCAGCGAAGCAGAGCCCAUCGACCGCCUGUAUGCCCGACUCGGGGCCACCACCGUGGUCUUGUCUUGCCCUGUACCUGAAGGCGGAUCCCAGGUGGUAUGGAAAAACCACGUGACCCCGGAGACCGU
RNAcentral lists this long non-coding RNA (599 nucleotides) under Notechis scutatus (mainland tiger snake). RNAcentral's name for it is "lncRNA (ENSNSUG00000007734.1)". The record is from RNAcentral. Lineage: Eukaryota; Metazoa; Chordata; Lepidosauria; Squamata; Elapidae.